RNAcentral lists this ribosomal RNA (256 nucleotides) under uncultured bacterium. RNAcentral's name for it is "partial 16S ribosomal RNA". It matches the Rfam family "Bacterial small subunit ribosomal RNA", at positions 97 to 339 of the family's 1533-position model. The record is from RNAcentral.
GGCGCACGGGUGAGUAACACGUAGGUGACCUGCCCUGUAGUUGGGAAUAACAGAGAGAAGUCUCUGCUAAUACCGAAUGAGGUGAGCAACUUUGGAAAGAGCUCACGAAAGACAGCCUCUUUACAAUGCUGUCGCUAUGGGAAGGGCCUGCGGGCCAUUAGCUUGUUGGUGGGGUAAUGGCCUACCAAGGCUUUGAUGGCUAGCUGGUCUGAGAGGAUGGCCAGCCAUACUGGAACUGAGACACGGUCCAGACUCC